This 484-nucleotide ribosomal RNA is filed under the name uncultured bacterium. RNAcentral's name for it is "partial 16S ribosomal RNA". It matches the Rfam family "Bacterial small subunit ribosomal RNA", at positions 28 to 523 of the family's 1533-position model. The record is from RNAcentral.
GACGAACGCUGGCGGCGUGCUUAACACAUGCAAGUCGAACGAUGAAGCCGGAGCUUGCUCUGGUGAAUUAGUGGCGAACGGGUGAGUAACACGUGAGUAACCUGCCCUUGACUCUGGGAUAACUGCUAGAAAUGGUAGCUAAUACCGGAUACGACCCUCGGAGGCAUCUCCAGGGGGUGGAAAGAAUUUCGGUCAAGGAUGGACUCGCGGCCUAUCAGCUAGUUGGUGAGGUAACGGCUCACCAAGGCGACGACGGGUAGCCGGCCUGAGAGGGUGACCGGCGACACUGGGACUGAGACACGGCCCAGACUCCUACGGGAGGCAGCAGUGGGGAAUAUUGCACAAUGGGCGCAAGCCUGAUGCAGCAACGCCGCGUGAGGGAUGACGGCCUUCGGGUUGUAAACCUCUUUUAGUGGGGAAGAAGCGAAAGUGACGGUACCUGCAGAAAAAGCACCGGCUAUCUACGUGCCAGCAGCCGCCGUAA